GAGACGCCCCUAUCUUCGCCCACUCGGCCGCCACGUGGUGGCCGAGCGAGGGCCUCGGGGUAACUC
This is a microRNA precursor of Oryza sativa Japonica Group (Japanese rice), 66 nucleotides long. It matches the Rfam family "MIR2907 microRNA precursor family". The record is from Rfam. NCBI's taxonomy places the organism in Eukaryota, Viridiplantae, Streptophyta, Magnoliopsida, Poales, Poaceae.